AACGAACGCUGGCGGCAUGCCUAACACAUGCAAGUCGAACGAGACCUUCGGGUCCAGUGGCGCACGGGUGCGUAACGCGUGGGAAUCUGCCCUUGGGUUCGGAAUAACUCGCCGAAAGGCGUGCUAAUACCGGAUGAUGACGUAAGUCCAAAGAUUUAUCGCCCAAGGAUGAGCCCGCGUUGGAUUAGCUAGUUGGUGAGGUAAAGGCUCACCAAGGCGACGAUCCAUAGCUGGUCUGAGAGGAUGAUCAGCCACACUGGGACUGAGACACGGCCCAGACUCCUACGGGAGGCAGCAGUGGGGAAUAUUGGACAAUGGGCGAAAGCCUGAUCCAGCAAUGCCGCGUGAGUGAUGAAGGCCUUAGGGUUGUAAAGCUCUUUUACCCGGGAUGAUAAUGACCGUACCGGGAGAAUAAGCUCCGGCUAACUCCGUG
RNAcentral lists this ribosomal RNA (433 nucleotides) under uncultured bacterium. RNAcentral's name for it is "partial 16S ribosomal RNA". It matches the Rfam family "Bacterial small subunit ribosomal RNA", at positions 29 to 507 of the family's 1533-position model. The record is from RNAcentral.